Molecule: long non-coding RNA, 435 nt
Organism: Callorhinus ursinus (northern fur seal)
Lineage: Eukaryota; Metazoa; Chordata; Mammalia; Carnivora; Otariidae
Source: RefSeq, a predicted model, not a curated record
CUAGUGACCUGAGGCAGGGCAGGGAGGGAAUCCAAGCAAGACGGUGGACCCCAGGAGGCGUUUGACUGACCUCAUCCUAAAGAAGCGACGUGGUUAUUUAUGAGCCCUGAUUUAAAAGUAGUGGCUGCUAAGGAAGUGAAAAAGGAGCUCACCCCAAGCUAUGAGAGAAGCUAUAGUCUCAAGAAUGCUGUUUAUGACGAUAUAAAACAACGUGGAGCUUGUGAUGGGAAAUAUGGAGAGCGGAAGACGCCCAAGCCUUGGGAUGAAAUACAGAUUGAGAAGAUGUUUGAUCACUGCAGCCCAUUAGGGCUGGGCUGCAGCCCAUUAACCCAAAUGAGAAAAGCUCUGGCUUCUCUAGGCAGCCUCUGAGCCUAAGCCGCAGGAGCCUCUGCUCAGCCGCCCGGCACAAGCAGCAGCCCCCACCGGCACCACCGC